RNAcentral lists this ribosomal RNA (441 nucleotides) under uncultured bacterium. RNAcentral describes it as "partial 16S ribosomal RNA". It matches the Rfam family "Bacterial small subunit ribosomal RNA", at positions 338 to 795 of the family's 1533-position model. The record is from RNAcentral.
CCUACGGGGGGCUGCAGUCGGGAAUAUUGCGCAAUGGAGGAAACUCUGACGCAGUGACGCCGCGUGCAGGAAGAAGGUUUUCGGAUUGUAAACUGCUUUAGACAGGGAAGAAAAAAGACAGUACCUGUAGAAUAAGCUCCGGCUAACUACGUGCCAGCAGCCGCGGUAAUACGUAGGGAGCAAGCGUUAUCCGGAUUUAUUGGGUGUAAAGGGCGUGUAGGCGGGAGCGCAAGUCAGAUGUGAAAACUCAGGGCUCAACCCUGAGCCUGCAUUUGAAACUGUGUUUCUUGAGUGCUGGAGAGGCAAUCGGAAUUCCGUGUGUAGCGGUGAAAUGCGUAGAUAUACGGAGGAACACCAGUGGCGAAGGCGGAUUGCUGGACAGUAACUGACGCUGAGGCGCGAAAGCGUGGGGAGCAAACAGGAUUAGAUACCCUAGUAGUC